RNAcentral lists this long non-coding RNA (745 nucleotides) under Helianthus annuus (common sunflower). Its description in RNAcentral is "hypothetical non coding rna". Lineage: Eukaryota; Viridiplantae; Streptophyta; Magnoliopsida; Asterales; Asteraceae. The record is from RNAcentral.
GAAAGCGGUGACGUCCGACCGUCUUCCGGCGACGUACAACCGUCCGGCCACAGUGAUAUCUUGUGUUAAAUAACCCUGAAAACCAUUGUAUUAUCACAUCACCAUAUAAAUCUCAUUGAGAGAAAGAAAGCGGUGACGUCCGACCGUCUUCCGGCGACGCACAACCGUCCGGCCACAGUGGUAUCAUAUCACACACCAACGAACACCCCUUCCCAUCUUCUACUUCCAUUUUCUGCCCUUGCACGAACAUUGUGAGAGAGAGAGAGAUGCGGCCGAAGUAUGUUAUUGGUGUGUGAUUUGAGUAAUUGGGUUUCUAAUGUGACUCCCCUCGCAUAAUUCAAACGUCAACUCCUCUUCUUCUUGUUUGCGGAAACCAAGCAUUCAGCCUCUUCGAUGACCGGAUAUUUUUUAGAUCGGUGGGGGUUAUAUAGGGGUGUGAAACUCAUGUGGCAAAUGACGGGGAAACGGCGGUUGGAAUAGACGCUACGGUUUGGUUAUUAACUUUAAAGUCAUGACUCAUGACGGUAUUAGACUGGGCCAGAAAAGAAUGAAAAAUGGUUGUGAAAAACUGAAAGGAUGUGCAGUGUUGUGUGAAAGGGUGAAACGAAAGGGUGGCUGUAUCAUAUGAAUGGAUGUGUCGUAUCAUGUUACGGUUUCUUUUGAACGCAACCUUUAGUUGCUUUUUGUAUUAGAUAGAUAAUAGUCUGAUGGAUGGAUGGUUUACUAUGAUGGAUAAGAAAUAACU